UACGGGAGGCAGCAGUGGGGAAUAUUGCACAAUGGGCGCAAGCCUGAUGCAGCCAUGCCGCGUGUAUGAAGAAGGCCUUCGGGUUGUAAAGUACUUUCAGUCGUGAGGAAGGUGUUAAGGUUAAUAACCUUAGCAAUUGACGUUAGCGACAGAAGAAGCACCGGCUAACUCCGUGCCAGCAGCCGCGGUAAUACGGAGGGUGCGAGCGUUAAUCGGAAUUACUGGGCGUAAAGGGCACGCAGGCGGUUAAUUAAGUUGGAUGUGAAAUCCCCGGGCUUAACCUGGGAAUGGCAUUCAAGCUGGUUAGCUAGAGUCUUGUAGAGGGGGUAGAAUUCCAUGUGUAGCGGUGAAAUGCGUAGAGAUGUGGAGGAAUACCGGUGGCGAAGGCGGCCCCUGGACAAAGGACUGACGCUCAUGUGCGAAGCGUGGGGAGCAAACGAGGGAUUAGAUACC
This 453-nucleotide ribosomal RNA is filed under the name uncultured bacterium. Its description in RNAcentral is "bacterial SSU rRNA". It matches the Rfam family "Bacterial small subunit ribosomal RNA", at positions 340 to 786 of the family's 1533-position model. The record is from RNAcentral.